RNAcentral lists this ribosomal RNA (497 nucleotides) under uncultured bacterium. Its description in RNAcentral is "partial 16S ribosomal RNA". It matches the Rfam family "Bacterial small subunit ribosomal RNA", at positions 28 to 507 of the family's 1533-position model. The record is from RNAcentral.
GAUGAACGCUGGCGGCGUGCCUAAUACAUGCAAGUCGAGCGAGCAGACGAGGAGCUUGCUCCUCUGACGUUAGCGGCGGACGGGUGAGUAACACGUGGAUAACCUACCUAUAAGACUGGGAUAACUUCGGGAAACCGGAGCUAAUACCGGAUAAUAUAUUGAACCGCAUGGUUCAAUAGUGAAAGACGGUUUUGCUGUCACUUAUAGAUGGAUCCGCGCCGCAUUAGCUAGUUGGUAAGGUAACGGCUUACCAAGGCAACGAUGGGUAGCCGACCUGAGAGGGUGAUCGGCCACACUGGAACUGAGACACGGUCCAGACUCCUACGGGAGGCAGCAGUAGGGAAUCUUCCGAAAUGGGCGAAAGCCUGACGGAGCAACGCCGCGUGAGUGAUGAAGGUCUUCGGAUCGUAAAACCCUGUUAUUAGGGAAGAAAAAAUGUGUAAGUAACUAUGCACGUCUUGACGGUACCUAAUCAGAAAGCCACGGCUAACUACGUG